Molecule: long non-coding RNA, 877 nt
Organism: Drosophila ficusphila
Lineage: Eukaryota; Metazoa; Arthropoda; Insecta; Diptera; Drosophilidae
Exons: 2
Source: RefSeq, a predicted model, not a curated record
UUCGGAUCAUUUUAGUUUUCGAAAUUGAUAAGUGCACAUUAAAUGUUGUAUUAUAUUUUCAUACUAAUUUGUUUUGUGCCACGCUGGCAGGCACUGGAAAAUAAAACUUCCUUGCUGCCUUCCGGAAAUUCCACUGCUAGAAGCUUUAAAUAUGUUGGCACAAACACACCCUGCUCAUCAUUCCGACAAUUCUUUUUGACAGAAUUUGGAAACGUAGAGACUAUAUUGGCUUACUGUAAUUUUCCUAACAGCGAAAACAGAAUAAUUCCCUUAAAGGUUCUUGACAAAGGUACCAACCAAUACGGUGAAGCUAGUAAACAUCCACUCUUAGAUCGGAUUUUAGACCUUACGACUAUCUCGCCAACUUGCAGUACCUUGCGUAAUGGGUAUUCAAUUCAAAGAGAGAAUAUACUACUAAAUUGCACGAUUGCUAAUCAAACAAACAUCAUUAUUCCAUUGCCAAGCAGCUACUUGAAAAAGAACCGACGUGAGGGAACCGUGGAAAAACCAAAUUUUCCACAACUUUGUAGGGAUCCGCAAGCUCUUUCCAAACACCUGAUGUUUCCAUGCAAUAUACCGGUUGCAGAGAAUCCGUACCAGGGUUAUGGGCCCCAACCUGCAAAUCCGAUAUACCCACCAGCAUCACCAGGAUGGCCCGCCGCACCAGGGUCUCCUUGGGGAAAUAUCCCAGGAUAUUCCGGACAACUUGGUGGAUUUGUUAGAUCAACUAGAGAGAAGGUGUUAUCUAAAUCAAGUAUUAAUUCCGGAGAGUUACCAAAGCCAUCGGAUAUUCCAAAAAAAGAAAAUUAGAAUUUCAUAUUUAAACUUUAAACAACAAUUAAACAGUAAUAAACUGCACCCGUUUUAGUAACAAAAA